This 254-nucleotide ribosomal RNA is filed under the name uncultured bacterium. RNAcentral describes it as "partial 16S ribosomal RNA". It matches the Rfam family "Bacterial small subunit ribosomal RNA", at positions 524 to 777 of the family's 1533-position model. The record is from RNAcentral.
UACGUAGGGUGCAAGCGUUGCCCGGAUUUAUUGGGCGUAAAGGGCGCGUAGGCGGCUCUGCACGUUCGUUGUGAAAUCGCCCGGCUCAACUGGGCGGGGUCAGCGGAUACGGCAGAGCUUGAGCAAGCUAGGGGGCAAUGGAAUUCCCGGUGUAGUGGUGGAAUGCGUAGAUAUCGGGAGGAACACCAGUGGCGAAGGCGACUACCUGGCCUGUUCUUGACGCUGAGGCGCGAAAGCUAGGGGAGCAAACGGGG